This 72-nucleotide transfer RNA is filed under the name Marmota monax (woodchuck). It matches the Rfam family "tRNA". From Rfam's summary of the family: Transfer RNA (tRNA) molecules are approximately 80 nucleotides in length. Their secondary structure includes four short double-helical elements and three loops (D, anti-codon, and T loops). Further hydrogen bonds mediate the characteristic L-shaped molecular structure. tRNAs have two regions of fundamental functional importance: the anti-codon, which is responsible for specific mRNA codon recognition, and the 3' end, to which the tRNAs corresponding amino acid is attached (by aminoacyl-tRNA synthetases). tRNAs cope with the degeneracy of the genetic code in two manners: having more than one tRNA (with a specific anti-codon) for a particular amino acid; and 'wobble' base-pairing, i.e. permitting non-standard base-pairing at the 3rd anti-codon position. The record is from Rfam by way of RNAcentral. Lineage: Eukaryota; Metazoa; Chordata; Mammalia; Rodentia; Sciuridae.
UGGGUUGUGGCUCAGUGGUAGAGCACUCGCCUAGCACAUGUGGGGCCCUGGGUUCAAUCCUCAGCACCACAU